RNAcentral lists this ribosomal RNA (460 nucleotides) under uncultured bacterium. RNAcentral describes it as "partial 16S ribosomal RNA". It matches the Rfam family "Bacterial small subunit ribosomal RNA", at positions 338 to 795 of the family's 1533-position model. The record is from RNAcentral.
CCUACGGGAGGCAGCAGUGAGGAAUAUUGGUCAAUGGACGAGAGUCUGAACCAGCCAAGUAGCGUGAAGGAUGACUGCCCUAUGGGUGGUAAACUUCUUUUAUAAGGGAAUAAAAUGUGCCACGUGUGGGCUUUUGUAUGUACCAUAUGGAUAAGGAUCGGCUAACUCCGUGCCAGCAGCCGCGGUAAGACGGUGGAUCCGAGCGUUCUCCGGUUUUAUUGGGUUUAAAGGGAGCGGAGGGGGUUUGUUAAGUCAGUUGUGAAAGUUUGCGGCUCAACCGUAAAAUUGCCGUUGAAACUGGCAGUCUUGAGUUCAGUAGAGGUAGGCGGAAUUCGUGGUGUAGCGGUGAAAUGCUUAGAUAUCACGAAGAACUCCGAUUGCGAAGGCAGCUCACUGGACUGCAACUGACACUGAGGCUCGAAAGUGUGGGUAUCAAACAGGAUUAGAUACCCGAGUAGUC